This 126-nucleotide small nucleolar RNA is filed under the name Tupaia belangeri (northern tree shrew). Its description in RNAcentral is "Small nucleolar RNA SNORA40 (ENSTBEG00000019318.1)". It matches the Rfam family "Small nucleolar RNA SNORA40". From Rfam's summary of the family: The snoRNA ACA 40 belongs to the H/ACA family of snoRNAs and guides the pseudouridylation of 28S rRNA subunit at position U4565. NB This family has a high threshold value to exclude a large number of closely related sequences that do not appear to have conserved H and ACA boxes, and may be pseudogenes. Lineage: Eukaryota; Metazoa; Chordata; Mammalia; Scandentia; Tupaiidae. The record is from RNAcentral.
CACUUGAUUUUGUUUUUGUUUAUCUUUUAGACAAGGACACAAAGACAAAAGUGAAAAAAAAAUCCUCUUUUGCAACCCAGAACUCAUUGUUUAGUAUGAGUUUUGAUACAUAUAUGAAGGAAUAUU